GCUACAAACCUGGUUAUCGCUCCGUUUUUAUAGCGGGGAGGAAAGUCCGGACAGCAAAGAGCAACACACCGGUUAACGGCCGGUCCCGGAUUACACCGGGAAGAAAGUGCCACAGAAAAUUACCGUCCCGAUGGCGGGUUUCGUCCAUCGGGAUAAGGGUGAAAACGUGAGGUAAAAGCUCACGUCCCGGCUCGGUAACCUGCCGGGAGGGUAAACCUUGUGUGCUGUAAUGCCACGUAUAUCCUGGUUUGCCUGGCACAUGACCUAUCAUGGGCUGGCAAGAUAAACUGCUCGUUUAUAUUUCCGCGUUAUUGUGGAAUACCGGGAAGGGUAGGCAGCAAGAUUGUUGCAGUAAUGUAACAGCAAGAUAAAUGAUAACCUCCCGUCACAUCACGGGAUACAGGAUCCGGCUUAUAGGUUUGUAGUAUUU
This 430-nucleotide RNase P RNA is filed under the name Bacteroidota bacterium. RNAcentral describes it as "RNase P RNA component class A". It matches the Rfam family "Bacterial RNase P class A". From Rfam's summary of the family: Ribonuclease P (RNase P) is a ubiquitous endoribonuclease, found in archaea, bacteria and eukarya as well as chloroplasts and mitochondria. Its best characterised activity is the generation of mature 5'-ends of tRNAs by cleaving the 5'-leader elements of precursor-tRNAs. Lineage: Bacteria; Pseudomonadati; Bacteroidota. The record is from RNAcentral.